UGGUGGCGCUCUACAGCUAUGAACAAGACAAACCGGAAGAAACUGAGCUUUCAGGAAGGAGACGUGAUCUACCUGACCAGGAGGAACGAUGACGGCUGGUGCGAGGGCGUCCUGAACGGCGUGAACGGGUUCUUCCCCGGAAACUACGUAGCGACCAUGAGCUAAAUGAGAACGAUUUAUGGCAAAACAUCAGUACGCGGAUUAAAAAAACAACAUAUAUAUAUAUAUAUAUAUAUAUAUAUAUAUAUAUAUAUAUACAUAUCUAGCAAAAGGAUGAUUGGUGGUAUUCAGAGAUAUGCAAAUGUAUGUUUGAUUACUGUGUAUAUGAGACAAACUGAUUCGAUAAAAUUCUAAAUGCGCCGUCUGCCUGUGUUUCUCACUAUCAUCGUGGUUCUUUUUUCAUUAACACUGAAAUAACUGAAGUAUUUAUUAACACCAACUAACAGACGGAUGAACCCGAGUCAAUCGAGAGAGGCAUCGCGCUCACGUGAGAGCACCACUUUCCCAGAAUGCUUUGCUGUGGCGUGUUUCCUUUUUGUUUAAAAAAAAAAAAAAACAAAAACGGCGGAUGAUGUGUAAACCAGCUGGGUCGUCUUCGUUAAUAAAAUGUCUGUACGUGGAACUGGACGAGUUCGCUCUGGGAGUCGAGUCCGAUCUGUUUUUUUACACUUCACGUGUUACGUUUGACGCUCUUUUUUUCACGUGUACGGUAGUGCAUCGUUUAGUUUUACUCUUUAAACAGCACCUCUGGAGGAAGUUUGUGAGAAAAGGAAAGAAUUUCCGAUGUUUUUAUUUUUAUUUACUGGGAUUGCAGUUCAUCUUACAUGCAGCAGAGGGCGUGAAAAACGACACGUCGCUGGUUUUAAAGGUCCCAGCGUGUGAGUGUGAAGGACAGUGCUGUGAUUUCAGGAUAAAUAUCCGGGAUAAGUGUUAUGACUGCUACUAGAGGAUGGAAAAUAAACAACAGACAUGUUCUAACAGCUGAUAAAGAGUGUGUGUGUGUGUGUGUGUGUGUAACCUCCGUGCUUGGGCGCUCAGGAACGAGCCUAACCUGCCUUACAGUCUUUAUUUUGAAGACACCGCGAGAGCAGGCACUGUGACUUUAACCAGCACGAUGUGGUAAUAAACACUCAGGUGUGUGUAGCCAAGAGUGCACUUCUUCAUGAUAAGACUCCCUCGACGUCUGAGUACCGGGCCAGACGAGAUCACCUGCUCACCUGCUCACCUGCGGCCCUUCAGCAGAUCCCCCGAAAGACGUCGCCACAUCUGC
Ictalurus punctatus (channel catfish) is the source of this 1270-nucleotide long non-coding RNA. NCBI's taxonomy places the organism in Eukaryota, Metazoa, Chordata, Actinopteri, Siluriformes, Ictaluridae. The record is from Ensembl.